ACUAUUCGUUAGAAAUUCAAAGAAGAUGUUUCGUCUUAUCUUCCUUAUUGUUAUUUUAACGCUGCUAUCUUUUAUGGCAAUUGUGAGUAAUGGUUUACUAACAUUCAAAUUGUCGCAUGUGAAUGUCAGACCAUAUGCACUAAGACCAGGCUUUAUAGUACGGUAAAUAAAUGGAAUACAAAAAGGCAUUUGUGAAACUCUACAAUCUGAUAUUAUAAUAAAGAUUUGAAUCCAUUCA
Molecule: long non-coding RNA, 238 nt
Organism: Bradysia coprophila
Lineage: Eukaryota; Metazoa; Arthropoda; Insecta; Diptera; Sciaridae
Source: RefSeq, a predicted model, not a curated record